This 279-nucleotide ribosomal RNA is filed under the name uncultured bacterium. RNAcentral's name for it is "partial 16S ribosomal RNA". It matches the Rfam family "Bacterial small subunit ribosomal RNA", at positions 506 to 784 of the family's 1533-position model. The record is from RNAcentral.
UGCCAGCCGCCGCGGUAAUACGGAGGGUGCAGGCGUUGUUCGGAAUUAUUGGGCGUAAAGAGCAUGUAGGCGGACUGUUAAGUCUGGCGUGAAAGCCCGGGGCUCAACCCCGGAACUGCGGGGUGAACUGCUGGACUUGAGAAAGGUAGGGGCUGAUGGAACCAUGAGUGGAGCGGUGAAAUGCGUAGAUAUUCAUGGGAACGCCGAUGGGGAAGCCGAUCAGCUGGGCCUUUUCUGACGCUCAUGCACGAAAGCGUGGGGAGCAAACAGGAUUAGAUA